This 84-nucleotide transfer RNA is filed under the name Akkermansia sp. Its description in RNAcentral is "tRNA-Leu". It matches the Rfam family "tRNA". From Rfam's summary of the family: Transfer RNA (tRNA) molecules are approximately 80 nucleotides in length. Their secondary structure includes four short double-helical elements and three loops (D, anti-codon, and T loops). Lineage: Bacteria; Pseudomonadati; Verrucomicrobiota; Verrucomicrobiia; Verrucomicrobiales; Akkermansiaceae. The record is from RNAcentral.
GCCACAGUGGCGGAAUGGUAGACGCAGGAGACUUAAAAUCUCCCGGCUUUUUUGGCUGUACGGGUUCGAGUCCCCUCUGUGGUA